This 1198-nucleotide long non-coding RNA is filed under the name Capsicum annuum. RNAcentral's name for it is "long non-coding RNA (CANN_LNC007088)". Lineage: Eukaryota; Viridiplantae; Streptophyta; Magnoliopsida; Solanales; Solanaceae. The record is from RNAcentral.
GGUAUCUCCAAGAUUUUAGUCUCAACAAAUCUCCAAUAACAUAACUAAAUCCUCACUUUAAAGUCACUCAAAGGAUUUUCCUCACUCAAAAGUAGUGCAAUAGUAUAUUCUAAGCUCCAUAAACUGAAAAUUAGCUACUUGAAAUAUUAGGGAUUGAGCCAUUUAUCUAUUAGGAUCAGGCCUCAUGAAAUUCCAUCAUUGACAUUGGGAAUGUGCCCGUCAGUCGUGAUCAUUGCUUUUUAUCACAAAUGCGACUUUUGUUGUUGUCUAGAUUUUUGCAAUCACGAUGCAUCUUCACGUGAUCUUACAACCUUUGCCUAUUUAGACGAGUCACGAUUGUGAUGUAUCUUUCACGAUAGAAAUAUCUUCACUUAUCUCGAUCAAUUAUAAUCACAACUUGUCAAAUCGCAAUAAAAGAUAUAUGAGGUCCAUUUCUAACACACAUCAUCAGCCUUUGUCCUGCUCAGCUCACUUUUUCUCCUUUCAAAUUUUGACUUUACUUCUCUUUCACCAGAUUUCCCUGAAAACCACAAACACCAAAAAUUAGUGCAUUUCAUUAGAAAAUUAGACUCAUAUAUCAUUAGUUUAUUCACAAUAGUGUGAAAGAAAUGAGUGGAAAAAUUGUCGCUCAUCAAUAUCCCCAACUUAAGGACUUUGCUUGUCCUCAAGAAACAUAACUUCACAACCCAGUAAGACUAUCAAAUUAAAAUCAACACUGAAGCUAACACUUUUUCAACACAUGACCAUAAUGAUUAUGAAUUUUAUUGGUACUAGCAAUUAGUUAACAAGAAUGUGAAGUGCUAGCUAUGCAACUCCCUCGAAUUCAAUCCUAUUUUCAAAAAUGCAAUAAAAUUUCAAGAAUAAUCAGAUAACAACAACCCAUUCUCAAGAGGUGACUCUCAAUAAAUAGUAAUCCAAACAUGAUCCUUUGCCUUGGUAUUAAAAUAUGUCAACUUCAUCAAUCUAUCCUAGUUUACAUGCCUUCUCACUAAAGAAACUCCGUAAUACGUCAUAUUUUCAAGAUGCAACAAGGGACGAAUGUUCAAGCACUCACACUCACAAGGAAUUUCUAAAUGUAAACAAGUAUCAUGCCAUAUGCUUACCCUUAUUUUCAAUCACUACUAACUCUAAAAUACUUGGUUAGAGAUCUCAAACGACUUUUUUCUAGCUUGUAACGUAGGCUCGGGGAAGGGUAGGA